Molecule: ribosomal RNA, 431 nt
Filed under: Capnocytophaga granulosa
Lineage: Bacteria; Pseudomonadati; Bacteroidota; Flavobacteriia; Flavobacteriales; Flavobacteriaceae
Description: bacterial SSU rRNA
Rfam family: Bacterial small subunit ribosomal RNA
Source: RNAcentral
GAUGAACGCUAGCGGCAGGCCUAACACAUGCAAGUCGAGGGAGAAGCCCUUCGGGGCGGAAACCGGCGCACGGGUGCGUAACGCGUAUGCAACCUACCUUUCACAGGGGGAUAGCCCGAAGAAAUUUGGAUUAAUACCCCAUAAUAUUAUUGGAUGGCAUCAUUUGAUAAUUAAAAUUACGAUGGUGAAAGAUGGGCAUGCGUCCUAUUAGCUAGUUGGAGUGGUAACGGCACCCCAAGGCUACGAUAGGUAGGGGUCCUGAGAGGGAGAUCCCCCACACUGGUACUGAGACAGGGACCAGACUCCUACGGGAGGCAGCAGUGAGGAAUAUUGGUCAAUGGUCGGAAGACUGAACCAGCCAUGCCGCGUGCAGGAAGAAUGCCUUAUGGGUUGUAAACUGCUUUUAUAUGGGAAGAAUAAGGAGUACGUGU